GAACUUGUGCUGCAGACCCUUCCCCAGCUCUGUUCCCUUCUCUGGACACAAUUCAGCCCCUCAGGGUCUUCCUUGUGAGGAGAGGCCCAAACUGAGCGCAGGGUUCGAGGUGCGGCCUCACCUGUGUGGAGUGAAGAGGAGCAAUGACUUCCUCAGUCUUGCUGGCCACAGAAGUUGUGCUGGGUUUGGCUGAGCUGUAGUUACAGUGGCAGCUGACUGGAAGGAGAGGUGCACAAGUACUGCUACCACCAGAAAAGCAUCCUUCUGACAGAGCUGCAGCUUCUGAGGUCCUUGAGUUUCAGGAAAAGUACAGGCAUUCCUGUAAAUCUCCUGGGAGCUACACCUAGAUAAGGUUGCAGAACUGAAGCAGACUUUUUAUCAUGCACGUUUCACUUCUACUUACAGUUUUCAGGACAUUGAAUAUUCCUCCAGUGCCUUCAUAAAAUUCCUGGUGAAGCUGGGCAUUGCUCAGUCUGGAUAAAGUUAUCAGGCAAGCUCUAGCAUUCUCACUUCUUAGAUACUCUAUAAUCAUGGAGUGAAACUCAGCAUGCAUUACAUUAAAUGAGCUGAAACCAGGAAAAUCUGUGUCAAGGAGGUGCCUCUGCAGUGCAGAAAGGUAUCAGUUUUCCACUGUUCUUUAUUUGCACUUUUAAGGAAUCGGUCCUAUCUGCACUGCAUGAAAAGAUUAUGUUUUUCUUUUCCCAAAGAUGCAAAGAUAUUGUACUGCAGAUGCUGGAUAGACACUGCUGACUAAUCCAACUGUGCUGACUGUGGUGCAGGUGAACAGAGCAGGAGAGAAAAGAUUUUUCCUUCUCUGGGAAAUCAUGCCCUGACUUCAGCAGAUUCCAAAAAUAUUGAUGCCCAGGUGAAGGUGGGGAUGCCCAAUGACUCGUAAGUGAGCAGGGACAGCAGAAGCCAUUGAUCUGUCCUUUGGUUUAGACAGGAUGGUGAAUAAAUGCAAAUAUGGUCUUCACUCGUCUUCUUUAAGGAGCUUUCCUCCUCCUGGAGUCUCCCAGGGUUGUGUGGAAGAACCAGAAUCGAUGCCAGGCUGUGUACUCACGGUGGUUCCCCAGCUCAUUUCUGCUUCAGCACACAAGAGCCUAGUGCACAGACUGACACGGAGUGUGCUGCUGAGUGGUGAUGGGAGCAGAGAUUAAAUCACAUGAGAUUAUGUUCCUCACUCCUGGUUUUGCUUCUGUCUAUUUGAAGUGCAAAAUAAACUGGACAUGUUCAUAAAAAAGUUCCAGCAAAUGCUUGUUAUAUCUUGGCUCUCAUUUUCUGUGUGUGUUGAUCAAAUAGAGACAGAUGGAACCUGGUGAUGAUUUAAGACAUUAAUGUAGCCACAGAUUGUGCUGUAAACUAUAUUAUAAUCCAUGUUUCAUAUGGAAGCUGAAAUUCUAGACUGGAUAGCGGUUUUACUGUUCAAAUACAGUACAUUCACUGUCAUUUAUAACAUAAAAGGACAACUGCAGAGUAAGAAAAUAAAUAAAUAUAUGGGGUUACUUGUAGGAAAGCAGAAUAUUUAUCUAUUUGAGCUUGAAAAGGUGUCUCAGGCUGUGAUUUAAGAGGGUAAUGAUUGCAAUAAAUCAAAUGAAGCAGGGGCCUAAAUUAAAGAUGAGAAAGCUAACAUGGCCAAGAUAAAUGCAUUUGAGU
This is a long non-coding RNA of Passer domesticus (house sparrow), 1653 nucleotides long. RefSeq lists it as uncharacterized. The transcript is spliced from 4 exons. Lineage: Eukaryota; Metazoa; Chordata; Aves; Passeriformes; Passeridae. The record is from RefSeq and is a predicted model, not a curated record.